Molecule: transfer RNA, 69 nt
Filed under: Heterocephalus glaber (naked mole-rat)
Lineage: Eukaryota; Metazoa; Chordata; Mammalia; Rodentia; Bathyergidae
Rfam family: tRNA
About the family: Transfer RNA (tRNA) molecules are approximately 80 nucleotides in length. Their secondary structure includes four short double-helical elements and three loops (D, anti-codon, and T loops). Further hydrogen bonds mediate the characteristic L-shaped molecular structure. tRNAs have two regions of fundamental functional importance: the anti-codon, which is responsible for specific mRNA codon recognition, and the 3' end, to which the tRNAs corresponding amino acid is attached (by aminoacyl-tRNA synthetases). tRNAs cope with the degeneracy of the genetic code in two manners: having more than one tRNA (with a specific anti-codon) for a particular amino acid; and 'wobble' base-pairing, i.e. permitting non-standard base-pairing at the 3rd anti-codon position.
Source: Rfam by way of RNAcentral
GCAUGUAGCUCAGUUGUAGAGUGCUUGCCUAGCAUGCAGGAGGCCCUGAGUUCAAUCCCCAGCACUGCA